AGCAAGGUGGCCUAGUGGUUUGAGUGUCAGACAGGGACCCUGGAGACCAGGGUUCAGACCCCAGCUUGGUCA
Molecule: non-coding RNA, 72 nt
Organism: Phrynosoma platyrhinos (Desert horned lizard)
Lineage: Eukaryota; Metazoa; Chordata; Lepidosauria; Squamata; Phrynosomatidae
Source: the annotation of a GenBank genome assembly